MicroRNA precursor from Gallus gallus (chicken), 89 nucleotides. Lineage: Eukaryota; Metazoa; Chordata; Aves; Galliformes; Phasianidae. The record is from Ensembl.
CAAAGUAUGCUGUGUUUUUCUUUCUGCUAUCAGCCAGCUCUUGGAACCUGGAAGGCUGAAAGAGAGCCAGAACACAGUCAACAUCUUUG